This 640-nucleotide long non-coding RNA is filed under the name Androctonus crassicauda. Lineage: Eukaryota; Metazoa; Arthropoda; Arachnida; Scorpiones; Buthidae. The record is from RNAcentral.
UACAUUUAUUAGUAUUGAUAAUAAAUAAAUGUAAUUUCUUAGUAAGUCAAAAACGUUUUUUAGUAAUAAAUGUUUUCCUGGUAAUACACUUCAUUUUAUAUAAUUUUAUAUAAAGAUAAAAUGUUUUACCAGCUUCCAAAUUCAAAUCUGGCAGUUUUACAUUGGAGAUUCAAGGAUACUGAGUGCAUACAGCAGCCAAAAUUGUCAAAAGAGAGCCAGACUGAAAUAAACAAUUUAUAAAAUUUUUAUUUUAUGAUACAAAAGUUAUUGCAAGUAAAUUACACAGGGAUCUUAUUAAGGACCAGUUCCAACCACAGGUUGUACCCACACUCAUGGAGGGGGCCAGAUGAUGAAGGAUGAGGAUAGCCAAGCCAGACCCAGAACCCUGAAAAAAAGUUUUCAAGAGAUGCCAGACGCAGUCCUCCUGUGUGACACGUCAGCUUAUCACUUGGCCAUCAAAUGUUUUAAGUUAAAUUCAUCAUCAACAAUUAUCCAUAUUAUUAAUUAUUCAAUUAUUUUUUGCAUUAAUUAUCCAGUUAUUUUAAUUAUUAAAAUUAUUUUAAUUAUUAAUGAUUACAACAAUGCCAACUUUUAAAUUUUAUUAUAAGCAAGAUUUAUUAAUAUUCAAAUAUUUAUAUAG